GCAAGUCGAACGAUGAAGCCUAGCUUGCUGGGUGGAUUAGUGGCGAACGGGUGAGUAACACGUGAGUAACCUGCCCUUGACUCUGGGAUAAGCACUGGAAACGGUGUCUAAUACCGGAUAUUUCAACCGUCCGCAUGGUCUGGUUGUGGAAAGAAUUUUGGUCAAGGAUGGACUCGCGGCCUAUCAGGUAGUUGGUGAGGUAAUGGCUCACCAAGCCUACGACGGGUAGCCGGCCUGAGAGGGUGACCGGCCACACUGGGACUGAGACACGGCCCAGACUCCUACGGGAGGCAGCAGUGGGGAAUAUUGCACAAUGGGCGAAAGCCUGAUGCAGCAACGCCGCGUGAGGGACGACGGCCUUCGGGUUGUAAACCUCUUUUAGUAGGGAAGAAGCGAAAGUGACGGUACCUGCAGAAAAAGCACCGGCUAACUACGUGCCAGCAGCCGCGGUAAUACGUAGGGUGCAAGCGUUGUCCGGAAUUAUUGGGCGUAAAGAGCUCGUAGGCGGUUUGUCGCGUCUGCUGUGAAAACUGGAGGCUCAACCUCCAGCCUGCAGUGGGUACGGGCAGACUAGAGUGCGGUAGGGGAGAUUGGAAUUCCUGGUGUAGCGGUGGAAUGCGCAGAUAUCAGGAGGAACACCGAUGGCGAAGGCAGAUCUCUGGGCCGUAACUGACGCUGAGGAGCGAAAGCAUGGGGAGCGAACAGGAUUAGAUACCCUGGUAGUCCAUGCCGUAAACGUUGGGAACUAGAUGUGGGGGCCAUUCCACGGUCUCCGUGUCGCAGCUAACGCAUUAAGUUCCCCGCCUGGGGAGUACGGCCGCAAGGCUAAAACUCAAAGGAAUUGACGGGGGCCCGCACAAGCGGCGGAGCAUGCGGAUUAAUUCGAUGCAACGCGAAGAACCUUACCAAGGCUUGACAUAUACGAGAACGGGCCAGAAAUGGUCAACUCUUUGGACACUCGUAAACAGGUGGUGCAUGGUUGUCGUCAGCUCGUGUCGUGAGAUGUUGGGUUAAGUCCCGCAACGAGCGCAACCCUCGUUCUAUGUUGCCAGCACGUUAUGGUGGGAACUCAUAGGAGACUGCCGGGGUCAACUCGGAGGAAGGUGGGGAUGACGUCAAAUCAUCAUGCCCCUUAUGUCUUGGGCUUCACGCAUGCUACAAUGGCCGGUACAAAGGGCUGCAAUACCGUAAGGUGGAGCGAAUCCCAAAAAGCCGGUCUCAGUUCGGAUUGAGGUCUGCAACUCGACCUCAUGAAGUCGGAGUCGCUAGUAAUCGCAGAUCAGCAACGCUGCGGUGAAUACGUUCCCGGGCCUUGUACACACCGCCCGUCAAGUCAUGAAAGUCGGUAACACCCAACGCCGGUGGCCUAACCCGCAAGGGAGG
Molecule: ribosomal RNA, 1383 nt
Filed under: Microbacteriaceae bacterium HP3X1
Lineage: Bacteria; Bacillati; Actinomycetota; Actinomycetes; Micrococcales; Microbacteriaceae
Description: bacterial SSU rRNA
Rfam family: Bacterial small subunit ribosomal RNA
Source: RNAcentral